Papio anubis (olive baboon) is the source of this 52-nucleotide non-coding RNA. The record is from Rfam. NCBI's taxonomy places the organism in Eukaryota, Metazoa, Chordata, Mammalia, Primates, Cercopithecidae.
GGGAAACGGGAUGAGGGGCCAGCCCCAGGCCCCGGAACAAGCAUAUGGGGCA